Molecule: ribosomal RNA, 253 nt
Filed under: uncultured bacterium
Lineage: Bacteria
Description: partial 16S ribosomal RNA
Rfam family: Bacterial small subunit ribosomal RNA
Source: RNAcentral
UACGGGGGGGGCAAGCGUUGUUCGGAAUUACUGGGCGUAAAGGGCUCGUAGGCGGCCAACUAAGUCAGACGUGAAAUCCCUCAGCUUAACUGGGGAACUGCGUCUGAUACUGGAUGGCUUGAAUUCGGGAGAGGGAUGCAGAAUUCCAGGUGUAGCGGUGAAAUGCGUAGAUAUCUGGAGGAAUACCGGUGGCGAAGGCGGCAUCCUGGACCGACAUUGACGCUGAUGGGCGAAAGCUAGGGGAGCAAACGGG